Non-coding RNA from Schistocerca piceifrons (Central American locust), 82 nucleotides. Lineage: Eukaryota; Metazoa; Arthropoda; Insecta; Orthoptera; Acrididae. The record is from the annotation of a RefSeq genome assembly.
AAAAAGAUAGCUCAGUCGGUAGAGCAUUAGGCUUUUAACCUAAGGGUCCAGGGUUCAAGUCCCUGUCCGGGCGGAAAUUUUA